CUGUGACUCCGGAGAGGCUUACGGAGGACACUCGAUCCUGUCCCAGUUUUGCUGCAUGACCUUGACGGGUUCCUGCGCCCCUCUGGCCCAUGACCCCUCCACCUGUGUACAAGGGAGAGGGCCAACCUGGGGGAGCUGUUUGCAGGCGUGGCGGGGGACUUUUGGGAGGGGAGCUAGGGUGGGUGACGGAGCCGUGCCUGCUACCUCUCGGCUCAGCCCAACCGGAAAGGGUGUCGAGAAGUGUUCCUCCUUUUAAUUUGGGCCCUGAGCCUGUUACCCAUGGGACCCAUAGGAAGGUCUCAGGCCAGGCUGGAGUCAGCCCCUUCCAGGCUAUGGGCGUCAAGACAGCGCUGCCGGCAGCGGAGCUGGGCCUGUACUCCCUGGUGCUGAGUGGGGCCCUGGCCUAUGCUGGACAGGGCCUGCUUGAAGCUUCACAAGAUGGGGCCCAUAGGAAGGCCUUCCGGGAGUCCGUGCGGCCCGGCUGGGAGUACAUUGGCCGGAAGAUGGACGUGGCCGACUUUGAGUGGGUGAUGUGGUUCACCUCCUUCCGCAACGUCAUCAUCUUCGCCCUCUCCGGACAUGUGCUGUUUGCUAAACUCUGCACCAUGGUAGCCCCCCAGCUCCGCUCCUGGAUGUACGCUGUGUACGGGGCCCUGGCCGUGGUGGGCACCAUGGGCCCUUGGUACCUGCUGCUGCUGCUCGGCCACUGUGUCAGCCUCUAUGUGGCCUCGCUCUUGGGUCAGCCCUGGCUCUGUCUUGGCCUCGGCAUGGCCAGCCUUGCCUCCUUCAAGCUGGACCCCCUAAUCUCCUGGCAGAACGGGUUUGUAACGGGCACUUUUGAUCUUCAAGAGGUGCUGUUUCACGGGGGCAGCGGUUUCACAGUGCUGCGCUGCACCAGCUUUGCGCUGGAGAGCUGUGCCCACCCUGACCGCCGCUACUCCCUCGCCGACCUGCUCAAGUACAACUUCUACCUGCCUUUCUUCUUCUUCGGGCCCAUCAUGACCUUUGAUCGCUUCCACGCCCAGGUGAGCCAGGUGGAGCCGGUGAGGCGCGAGGGCGAGCUCUGGCACAUCCAGGCCCAGGCGGGCCUCAGCGUGGCGGCCAUCCUGGCGGUGGAUAUCUUCUUUCACUUCUUCUACAUCCUCACCAUCCCCAGUGACCUCAAGUUUGCCAGCCGCCUGCCGGACAGUGCCCUUGCUGGCCUCGCCUACUCAAACCUGGUGUAUGACUGGGUGAAGGCGGCCGUCCUCUUUGGUGUCGUCAAUACGGUGGCGCGCCUUGACCACUUGGACCCGCCCCAGCCUCCCAAGUGCAUCACAGCACUCUACGUCUUCGCAGAAACGCACUUUGACCGUGGCAUCAACGACUGGCUUUGCAAGUACGUGUACGACCACAUUGGUGGGGAGCACUCUGAGGUAAUCCCAGAGCUGGUGGCCACAGUGGCCACCUUUGCCGUCACUACUCUGUGGCUUGGGCCUUGUGAGAUUGUCUACCUGUGGUCCAUCCUCAACUGCUUUGGCCUCAACUUUGAGCUCUGGGUGCAGAAGCUGGCAGAGUGGGGGCCCGUAGCACGAAUUGAGAGAGCUGACCUGGGACUCUCAGAGACCUCAGGGACCACGCGGGCAAGACCUCUGACCACCCAUGUCCUCUUUCCCCUGGGCCUCUUGCCGCACGGACAAUGCCUUCCUGGACCGGGCAGGCCUCUCUGUCGGAGCAGAUGUCCCGCCGGGUCCGGGCCAUCUUCGGAGCCAUGAACUUCUGGGCUAUCAUCAUGUACAACCUUGUAAGCCUCAACAGCCUGGAGUUCACAGAGCUGGUCGCCCGGCGCCUGCUACUCACAGGGUUUCCCCAGACCACACUGGCCGUCCUGUUUGUCACCUACUGUGGUGUUCAGUUGGUGAAGGAGCGAGAGCGAACCCUGGCGCUAGAGGAGGAGCAGAAGGAGGACAAAUUGAAGCCGGAGUAGGUGGGAGGGGGCAGGGACAGCCCUGCUCAGCCAUUCCUGGGCCCAGGCCAGGCCGGGCCAGGCGGGGCCCGACGGAAAGAAUAAAAGACUUUUCUACCA
Molecule: RNA transcript, 2065 nt
Organism: Pteronotus mesoamericanus
Lineage: Eukaryota; Metazoa; Chordata; Mammalia; Chiroptera; Mormoopidae
Gene: HHATL
Gene name: hedgehog acyltransferase like
Exons: 12
Source: RefSeq, a predicted model, not a curated record